RNAcentral lists this ribosomal RNA (168 nucleotides) under Triticum aestivum (bread wheat). RNAcentral's name for it is "partial small subunit ribosomal RNA". Lineage: Eukaryota; Viridiplantae; Streptophyta; Magnoliopsida; Poales; Poaceae. The record is from RNAcentral.
AGGUUUAAGGGGCAUGGCAUGUUGGCACCAUUCACAGCUGGAUGGCAGAGCAAUGGUGUGCAUCCGUUGGUUAUUUAGAGAUCUGAGGGUUCUUAUGUUUAUGACAUCAAUGGGAACAAGUAUCCAGAUUCUCUAGCAGGACUGUGGUGUACAACUUUAGGUAUGUAA